CCUACGGGAGGCUGCAGUGGGGAAUAUUGGACAAUGGGCGAAAGCCUGAUCCAGCCAUGCCGCGUGUGUGAAGAAGGCCUUCGGGUUGUAAAGCACUUUCAGUGGGGAAGAAAGCCUUGGGGCUAAUACCCUCGAGGAAGGACAUCACCCACAGAAGAAGCACCGGCUAACUCCGUGCCAGCAGCCGCGGUAAUACGGAGGGUGCGAGCGUUAAUCGGAAUUACUGGGCGUAAAGCGCGCGUAGGCGGUCUGAUAAGCCGGUUGUGAAAGCCCCGGGCUCAACCUGGGAACGGCAUCCGGAACUGUCAGGCUAGAGGGCAGGAGAGGAAGGUAGAAUUCCCGGUGUAGCGGUGAAAUGCGUAGAGAUCGGGAGGAAUACCAGUGGCGAAGGCGGCCUUCUGGACUGACACUGACGCUGAGGUGCGAAAGCGUGGGUAGCAAACAGGAUUAGAUACCCUAGUAUC
RNAcentral lists this ribosomal RNA (464 nucleotides) under Vreelandella stevensii. Its description in RNAcentral is "partial 16S ribosomal RNA". It matches the Rfam family "Bacterial small subunit ribosomal RNA", at positions 338 to 794 of the family's 1533-position model. The record is from RNAcentral. Lineage: Bacteria; Pseudomonadati; Pseudomonadota; Gammaproteobacteria; Oceanospirillales; Halomonadaceae.